Molecule: ribosomal RNA, 273 nt
Filed under: Clonorchis sinensis
Lineage: Eukaryota; Metazoa; Platyhelminthes; Trematoda; Opisthorchiida; Opisthorchiidae
Description: partial 28S ribosomal RNA
Rfam family: Eukaryotic large subunit ribosomal RNA
Source: RNAcentral
CCCGCUGAACUUAAGCAUAUCACUAAGCGGAGGAAAAGAAACUAACAAGGAUUCCCUCAGUAACGGCGAGUGAACAGGGAAAAGCCCAGCACCGAAGCCUGUGGCCAAUUGGUCACUAGGCAAUGUGGUGUUCAGGUCGUUCCGCGGAGGUGCUGCUCCAUUCCAAGUCCAGCAAUGAGUACGGUAAUGCUGACAUGGCCCAAAGAGGGUAAAGGCCCGUGGGGUGGAGAGCAGAAAUGAAGCACCUUCCGGAUAGACCUGGAGUCGGGGGUU